Molecule: transfer RNA, 62 nt
Filed under: Betaproteobacteria bacterium RIFCSPLOWO2_02_67_12
Lineage: Bacteria; Pseudomonadati; Pseudomonadota; Betaproteobacteria
Description: tRNA-Lys
Rfam family: tRNA
About the family: Transfer RNA (tRNA) molecules are approximately 80 nucleotides in length.
Source: RNAcentral
GUUAGCUCAGCUGGUAGAGCAGCGGACUUUUAAUCCGUUGGUCGGCGGUUCGAAUCCGCCAC